CUGGGCUGAAGUUGCUGAACACUGUAUAAUUUUUCAUGAACGUUUUAUAUCCUUUCCGUUUAUCCCUAUCCAAGUCGAAAUUAACAACUACUAGCUAAAACAUGAGCAGCCGAUCUUUAUGUGAUAUACAAAUUCGAGCCGAAGGCGAGCGUGCUUAUAAAACGACCCAUAGGCAUAGUUUAUUGGCGAAGUAAUUUUAAAAAUGAAAGUCGUGAUUGCUGUCUAUGCCAAGAAG
This is a non-coding RNA of Paramuricea clavata, 235 nucleotides long. Lineage: Eukaryota; Metazoa; Cnidaria; Anthozoa; Malacalcyonacea; Plexauridae. The record is from the annotation of a GenBank genome assembly.